GAUGAACGCUGGCGGCGUGCCUAAUACAUGCAAGUCGAGCGAACAGAUAAGGAGCUUGCUCCUUUGACGUUAGCGGCGAACGGGUGAGUAACACGUGGAUAACCUACCUAUAAGACUGGGAUAACUUCGGGAAACCGGAGCUAAUACCGGAUAACAUAUUGAACCGCAUGGUUCAAUAGUGAAAGGCGGCUUUGCUGUCACUUAUAGAUGGAUCCGCGCCGUAUUAGCUAGUUGGUAAGGUAACGGCUUACCAAGGCAACGAUACGUAGCCGACCUGAGAGGGUGAUCUGCCACACUGGAACUGAGACACGGUCCAGACUCCUACGGGAGGCAGCAGUAGGGAAUCUUCCGCAAUGGGCGAAAGCCUGACGGAGCAACGCCGCGUGAGUGAUGAAGGUCUUCGGAUCGUAAAACUCUGUUAUCAGGGAAGAACAAAUGUGUAAGUAACUGUGCACAUCUUGACGGUACCUGAUCAGAAAGCCACGGCUAACUACGUG
Molecule: ribosomal RNA, 497 nt
Filed under: uncultured bacterium
Lineage: Bacteria
Description: partial 16S ribosomal RNA
Rfam family: Bacterial small subunit ribosomal RNA
Source: RNAcentral